UGGGGGAUAUUGCACAAUGGGUGAAAGCCUGAUGCAGCGACGCCGCGUGGGGGAUGAAGGCUUUCGGGUUGUAAACCUCUUUCGCUAUCGAACAAGGCCCGCUUAGGGUGGGUUGAGGGUAGGUGGAGAAGAAGCGCCGGCUAACUACGUGCCAGCAGCCGCGGUUAUACGUAGGGCGCGAGCGUUGUCCGGAAUUAUUGGGCGUAAAGGGCUUGUAGGCGGCUUGUUGCGCCUGCUGUGAAAACGCGGGGCUUAACUUCGCGCGUGCAGUGGGUACGGGCAGGCUUGAGUGUGGUAGGGGUGACUGGAAUUCCAGGUGUAGCGGUGGAAUGCGCAGAUAUCUGGAGGAAGACCGAUGGCGAAGGCAGGUCACUGGGCCAUUACUGACGCUGAGGAGCGAAAGCAUGGGUAGCGAACAGG
RNAcentral lists this ribosomal RNA (420 nucleotides) under bacterium. Its description in RNAcentral is "partial 16S ribosomal RNA". It matches the Rfam family "Bacterial small subunit ribosomal RNA", at positions 355 to 776 of the family's 1533-position model. The record is from RNAcentral.